GCGAUCAUACCAGCACUAAUGCACCGGAUCCCAUCAGAACUCCGAAGUUAAGCGUGCUUGGGCGAGAGUAGUACUAAGAUGGGUGACCUCUUGGGAAGUCCUCGUGUUGCACCCU
RNAcentral lists this ribosomal RNA (115 nucleotides) under Spirodela intermedia. Lineage: Eukaryota; Viridiplantae; Streptophyta; Magnoliopsida; Alismatales; Araceae. The record is from RNAcentral.